Molecule: ribosomal RNA, 464 nt
Filed under: uncultured bacterium
Lineage: Bacteria
Description: partial 16S ribosomal RNA
Rfam family: Bacterial small subunit ribosomal RNA
Source: RNAcentral
GACGAACGCUGGCGGCGUGCUUAACACAUGCAAGUCGAACGGUAAGGCCCUUCCGGGGGUACAUGAGUGGCGGACGGGCGGGUAACUAGCGCGUGAUUUGCCUUCCCCUUUCUUUUAAGUCACGGCAACUAGGUCUAAUACAGGACAGGUCUACGCGCCUCAUGCAGUGUGGUGGAAAGCAAUUGCGGGGUGGGGUGGGUCCGCGGCCUCCUUGCGGGUUUGUGGGGUGGUGGGCUACCAAGGAGGCGUCGGGUAGCCGGCCUGAGAGGGUGACCGGCCACACUGGGACUGAGAUACGGCCCAGACUCCUACGGGAGGCAGCAGUGGGGAAUAUUGCACAAUGGGCGCAAGCCUGAUGCAGCGACGCCGCGUGGGGGAUGACGGCCUUCGGGUUGUAAACCGCUUUCGGCACAGACGAAGCGUAAGUGACGGUAUGUGCAAAAGAAGCACCGGCCAACUACGUG